Non-coding RNA from Hydractinia symbiolongicarpus, 89 nucleotides. The record is from the annotation of a RefSeq genome assembly. Lineage: Eukaryota; Metazoa; Cnidaria; Hydrozoa; Anthoathecata; Hydractiniidae.
GAUUCCGUAGUGUAGUGGUUAUCACGUGUAGUGGUUAUCACGUGCGCUUAACACGCGCAAGGUCCCCGGUUCGAGCCCGGGCGGAAUCA